This 577-nucleotide long non-coding RNA is filed under the name Capsella rubella. RNAcentral's name for it is "long non-coding RNA (CRUB_LNC000306)". Lineage: Eukaryota; Viridiplantae; Streptophyta; Magnoliopsida; Brassicales; Brassicaceae. The record is from RNAcentral.
CAAUAUCUCUCCAUCAACAUCUAUGCAGAUCUUCUUCAAGCUACAAAAUCACAAUUCCAAUUUCAAUAAUCGAGAAUCCAAAAUCAAAAGGAAAAGAUUUGAUAAAAAAACAAAAUGCCUUCUCGACGAGUUUAGGAUCGAGAUUUUUGUCGGCGACGAGAGUAGCGUGGAGACGACGGAUUGAUGAAUCAACGGCUGAGGCGUUUUGACGGAGAGAUAGCUCUUGUUGAUUGAUUUUGUGAUGAUGAGAUCGGAUUUGGAUUUGUGGAGAUGAAAUUUUUUUGUUCUAAAAGAAGAAGAAAUGGUUUGAAUCUGUUUUUUUUUUUUUUAACAAUUUAAGAACCUUGAAGUUCAACCAAUAAUAACCUAUAUAUUUGAACAUCUUAAUUUACUUUUUUACAAUAUUAAUACACUAUAAAAUCUCUAAGAUACAUUUGAAAGGAUAUACCUUUAAGGAUGCUCUAAAGCUAACGAAGAGUGACGAGAGUUGGAAAGAGGGAGAUGAGAGAACUCAUUUUUGUCUUUACCCAUAUUCUGCCUUACCCCACCUCAUUUUCUAUCUCACACUCUUCUUAUC